ACCGGGAGUGGUUGGAGGGCGCUGCUCUCGGAGGACCGGGAGUGGUUGGAGGGCGCUGCUCUCGGAGGACCGGGAGUGGUUGGAGGGCGCUGCUCUCGGAGGACCGGGAGUGGUUGGAGGUUGCAGCGCUUGGAGGACUGGGGGAGCCGGCGUAACUUGGCUUAGCCCUGAUAGAAGCGAGAAAUCCAAUGAUGGAGAGGAAGAAGCUGUUCCUUAAACUCUGAGUGUGUGUCUUCAAGCUCCUGUACCUCCUCCUUGAUGGUAGCAAUGAGAAAAGGGCAUGUCCUGGGUGAUGGGGGUCCAUAAUGAUGGAUACCACCUUUUUGAGACACCACCUUUUGAAGACGUUCUGGAUGUUGGGGAGGUUAGUGCCCAUGAUGGAGCUGGUUGAGUUUACAACUUUCUGCAGAUUUUCCAAUCUUGUACAGUGGCCCCUCCACACCAAACAGUGAUGCAAUCAGUUAGAAUGCUCAAAUUUAUAUAGAUGUACAUCUGUAGGAAUUUGAGAGUGACUUUGGUGACAUACCAAUUCUCCUCAAAUAGCUGCUGCCUCUUUUUAAUUGCAUUAAUAUGUUGGGAGCAGCAUAGAUCCUCAGAGAUGUUUACACCCAGAAACUAGAAACUGCUCACCCUUUCCACUUCUGAUCCCUUGAUGAGGAUAGGUGUGUAUUCCCUCAAUUUCCCCUUCCUGAAGUCCACAAUCUAUUUUGGUCUUACUGACAUUGAGUGCAAGGUUGUUUCUGUGACACCAGUCAACCAGCUGAUCUAUUGCUCCUCGUCACUGUCUGAAAUUCUGCCAGCAAUAGUUAUGUCAUUGGCAAAUUUAAAGAUGGUGUCUGAGCUGUACCUAGCCACACCAACAUGGAUGUAGAGAGAGCAGAGCAGUGGGCUAAACAUGCACCAUUGUUGAUUAUCAGCAAGAAAGAGGUGGUAUUUUUAAUCUGCAUAGAUUGUGGUCUCCCUGUGAGGAAGUCAAGGAUCCGGCUGCAGAAGGAGGUACGGAGGCCCAGGUUUUGGAGCUUGUUGGUUAGAAUGUGUAGAACACUGAGGUGUAAUCAAUAAACAAUAGGUAUUACUAUUGUCCAGGUCGAGUGGAGAGCCAAUGAGAUUGCUUCUGCUGUAGACCUAUUAUGGCAAUAGGCAAAUUGCAGUGGGUUCAGGCAGGAGUUGAUUCUAACUUUGACCUACCUCUCAAAACACUUUAUCACAGCAGAUGUGAGAGCCACUGGGCAAACGAUGUUGAGAUGGCUCACCCUGUUCUUCUUGGGCUCUGGUAUGAUUGUCUCCCCUUGAAGCAGGGCGACGGCAGCAGUGAGAGACUGACGAUGCCCUUGAACACCCCCGCCAGGUGGUUGGCGCAGGUUUUCAGAGCCCUACCAGGUACACCAUCAGGACCUGACACCUUGAAAGUUGUUCCCAUGUCGACCUCCAAGACAGCGAUCACAGGGUCACCAGGAUCCACACAGGGUAUAGUUUUGUUCUCCCUUUUAUAGCGAGCAUAAAAGGUGUUGAGCUCAUCUGGUGGUGAAGCAUCACUACCAUUCACGAUGUUGGGUUUCACUUUGUAGGAAGUAAUGGCCUGUAAACCCUGCCUGAGCUGAUGUGCAUCUGAUUCAGUCUCUACCUAUAUUGGAAUUAAAUUGGAGUUAUUAACUUCAAACAUUCUGCAUAAUCAUUCAAAGAGCUGUAUAACUCAUCUCCUUCUACCUUAGGCCACAAACUUAUCAAUCACCCAUGCUGUGGACACUUUCUGCUAGCCCAAGAUCUGUAUGUUCCACGACCACUGGCAUUGGUGUGUAAAUGUAGGAGGGGACUAUGUUGAAAAAUAAAUGUGCUAGGUUUUCUAAAAUUGACUCCUUCUACCUUAGGCCAUGAACUUAUCAAUCACCCCUCGUAGUUCUAGAUAACCAAUCUUGAAUGUCACAGAUCUAGCCCUCAACAGACUAUAAAUCUCCUGGUUCAUCUAUGACUUUUGGUUUGGGUAUGUCCGGAAUGUUCUUGAAGACAAGCUUUCAUCCACUCAGGUCCUGAUGAAGUCAAUGACAACUGUGGCGUAUUCAUUCAGGCUCGAAGAUGAAUCCUUGAAUAUUGUCCUGUCGACUGACUCAAAGCAAUUCUGUGAGUACUCCUCCACCUCCCUUGCCCAUGCUUUCUUGGUCCUCACCACUGGUGCUACAGUCUCUUGUCCAUGCCUAUACUCUGGGAGUAGAAGUUCAGCCAGGUGAUCGGACUUUCCAAAGUGUGGAUGAGAGAUGGAACAUGGUGGUAUAACAGUGAGAGUUAGUUCUUCUGAUUUCACAGGUAAUAUAUUGGUGGCAAUUGUUCAGAGUCUUUUUCAAUCUGGCCUGGUUGAAAAGAUAGGCAAGGCAUCUGGGUGUGCAGCUUUGUGCUCAGUUUCUCCAAUGCCUGCCUGACGUUGGCCUGAUGUGGAAUGUACACUGUAACCAGGAUGAUGGCAGAAAACUCCCUUGGCAGAUAAAAAGGAUGAAAUAUGAUCACUGGAUGUUCCGGGUUGGAUGAGCAGGACUUUGAGAGAACCACUAUGAGUUAAUCAUAAAGCAUACUCCACCUCCUCUACCUUUAAAAGACUGAGCUGUUUUGUCUUUGUAGAGAAUGGUGAAUCCAUCUGAAAUGGUGGGGGAGAGCCAUGUUUCCUUGAAGUAAAGUACACAGCAGUCAGAGAUGUCUCUCUGGAGCAGCAAUCUUGCUCUGAGAUCUUCAGAUUUAUCUUGAGAGACUGUACAUUCACCAGUAGGACAGUCAGGACUGGAAGUCUAAGGCCUCUGGAUUUCAAACAUACCAGAAGUGUAGCAUCCCAGCUCCUGUGUUGUUAAAGGGGAACUGCACUUGAGACAGGAGUCUGCCAUCUGAGGUUCAUUAAUUUUGAGUACUGAUAGAUAUUUUAAACAUCCUAAGAUGACAUUGCUUACUGAAUCUAUGGCUGUGCCAGGAUUUCAGCUGUAGUGGUCCUAAAUGUGAAUUUUUAAUGAUUCCAAUUGGAGCUACAUGCAUACAAUCACUAAUAAAUGGUGCCGUUGUAGGCUUUUUUUUCAAUAGCUGGACACCUCUGGCAAGGCCACUAUUUGUUGCCCUACAUAAUUGCCCCUGAGGGGUUGGGGUGAGUAGCUUUCUUGAGCCCCCACAAUUCUUCUGUUGAAGGGAUUUCCAGAAUUGUUGAGGAGGGAGUACUAGGACCCAGACUGGUGAUAUAUUUGCAAGUCAGGGAACCUGUAGUACUUAAUAGUAAAAUCUACAGCUUCAGGGAAUUCUCCACCCAUUUGUGAUAUUGGUUCAGCUUGUUUGUUUCAUUUUCCCUCUGGAGUGGAGGACUUGCUCUGCAUUUCACAACUCCCAUAUAGUUUCGUAUAGUUUAUAUUCUCACACGAACUGCUUUCUUUCACUCACUGACCUGAUAAUCUUGUUUACAACUUACCUCAGACUCACCCCAGUGUUACUGUAUCAGAAACACGCCCACCCCUCAAUGACCACCUUCCCUGCAGCUUAAUAAUCUCCCAAUUCUGACAAAGGAUCUUUGACACAAAAUAUUAACUCUGUUUCUGUUCCCACACAUCAAAGUGCAAAGUAAAUUUAUCAUCAAUGUACAUAAAUGUCACUAUAUACAACCCUGAUAUUCAUUUACUUGUGUGUAUUCACAGUAAGUACAACAAGUACAGUGGAAUCAAUGGCAGGCUGCACCCAGCAGGAUGGACAAAAAGCAGUGUGCAAAAGACAUCAAACUGUGUAGAUACUAAAGUGAAAAAAUAUAAUAAUAAAAAAUAAGCAAGAAAUAUCAAGAAUGUGAAUGAAGAGUCCUUGAAAGUGAAUCCAUUGGUUGUGGAACAAGUGAAGUUGAGUAAAUUAAUCCCCUCUGGUUCAAGAGCCUGAUGGUUGAGGGGUAAUAACUGUUCCUGAACCUGGUGAUGUGGGUCCUGAAGCUCCUGUACCUUCUUCCUGAGGCAGCAGUGAGAAGAGAGCAAGGCCUGAGUGGUGAUGGUCCCUGAUGAAGCAAGCAGCUUUCCUGUGACAUCGCUCUGUGUAGAUGUGCUCAGCGAUGAAGAGCACAUCUUACUUUUGAUGGACUGGGCUAUAUCCAUUUCUUUUUGUAGGAUUUUCCAUUCAAGGGCAUUGGUGUUUCCAUACCAGGCUGUGAUGCAACCUGUCAAUGUACUCUCCACCACACAUCUAUAGAAGUUUGCCAAAGUCUUAGAUGUCAUGCCAAAUCUUCACAAACUCAUAAGAAAAUAGAGGUUCUGCCGUGCUUUCUUUGUAAUUGAUCUUGUAUACUGGGUCCAGGACAGGUCCUCUGAAAUAAUAACACUGAGGAGUUUAAAGUUACUGUCCCUCUCCACCUUUGAUGAGGACUGGUUCCUGAUAUUGAGGAUAGGUGGUCUGACUCUCUUGUUGGAAAUUGUCAUUUCCUGGCACUCCUGUCGCGCACAUUGGCAGCAUGGCUGGCAAUCCGGGUUCAAUUCCACCCCAGUUUGUAUGUUCUCCUCGUGAACAUGUGGGGUUCCUCCACGUGUUUCGCCUGCUCCUUUAAACCAACCAAGUCCUGGUU
RNA transcript from Hypanus sabinus (Atlantic stingray), 4558 nucleotides. It is a transcript of the gene named succinate dehydrogenase complex assembly factor 1, with no coding region annotated. The transcript is spliced from 2 exons. The record is from RefSeq and is a predicted model, not a curated record. NCBI's taxonomy places the organism in Eukaryota, Metazoa, Chordata, Chondrichthyes, Myliobatiformes, Dasyatidae.